GGAGGGAUGGCCGAGCGGUUGAUGGCGGCGGUCUUGAAAACCGUUGUGCUUAACGGCACCGUGGGUUCGAAUCCUACUCCCUCCGCCA
This 88-nucleotide transfer RNA is filed under the name Desulfococcaceae bacterium HSG8. RNAcentral describes it as "tRNA-Ser". It matches the Rfam family "tRNA". From Rfam's summary of the family: Transfer RNA (tRNA) molecules are approximately 80 nucleotides in length. Their secondary structure includes four short double-helical elements and three loops (D, anti-codon, and T loops). The record is from RNAcentral. RNAcentral also lists the same sequence under 1 other name. Lineage: Bacteria; Pseudomonadati; Thermodesulfobacteriota; Desulfobacteria; Desulfobacterales; Desulfococcaceae.